This 207-nucleotide ribosomal RNA is filed under the name uncultured bacterium. RNAcentral's name for it is "partial 16S ribosomal RNA". It matches the Rfam family "Bacterial small subunit ribosomal RNA", at positions 568 to 774 of the family's 1533-position model. The record is from RNAcentral.
AGCGUAGACGGCUGGACAAGUCUGAAGUGAAAGCCCAGGGCUCAACCCUGGGACUGCUUUGGAAACUGCCCGGCUAGAGUGCUGGAGAGGUAAGUGGAAUUCCUAGUGUAGCGGUGAAAUGCGUAGAUAUUAGGAGGAACACCAGUGGCGAAGGCGGCUUACUGGACAGUAACUGACGUUGAGGCUCGAAAGCGUGGGGAGCAAACA